Molecule: long non-coding RNA, 370 nt
Filed under: Ananas comosus (pineapple)
Lineage: Eukaryota; Viridiplantae; Streptophyta; Magnoliopsida; Poales; Bromeliaceae
Description: long non-coding RNA (ACOM_LNC015267)
Source: RNAcentral
UCUUUUGCGUCGAUUCUCGCAGAGUUUUCUUUGCUGGAUCUGAAGCUUAUUGGGUUCGUCUUGCACCACCUUGGAAGCGUGCCGAAGGGCAAUUUCAUUUCUAGGAUAGUGCUCUGCACAUCUCGAUCCACAGUCCUUUUCUAUUCCUUAUUUUUAUAGUAUUUUUGUUUAAUUUCGUUUUAAAAUUUUUCUAAAACUGAAAUUAAACUUUCAAGUUAUUUUUAAAAGAAUAUUAUAAUAAAAUAUCAGAAAAAUAUUUUCAACAAUUUUCAUACUGACAAACGGGUUGGACAACUCACGAACCUACUUAUAAGCCUAUCUAUGUACCUACUACGGAUACAUAUUAGCUGUGAAAACCAAAAACAAUAUA